CAGCAGCCGCGGUAAUACGUAGGUGGCAAGCGUUGCCCGGAAUUACUGGGCGUAAAGGGCUCGCAGGCGGUUUCUUAAGUCUGAUGUGAAAGCCCCCGGCUCAACCGGGGAGGGUCAUUGGAAACUGGGAAACUUGAGUGCAGAAGAGGAGAGUGGAAUUCCACGUGUAGCGGUGAAAUGCGUAGAGAUGUGGAGGAACACCAGUGGCGAAGGCGACUCUCUGGUCUGUAACUGACGCUGAGGAGCGAAAGCGUGGGGAGCGAACAGGAUUAGAGACCCCGGUAGUCCCUGUCUCUUAUAC
RNAcentral lists this ribosomal RNA (301 nucleotides) under uncultured bacterium. RNAcentral describes it as "partial 16S ribosomal RNA". It matches the Rfam family "Bacterial small subunit ribosomal RNA", at positions 509 to 807 of the family's 1533-position model. The record is from RNAcentral.